RNAcentral lists this ribosomal RNA (497 nucleotides) under uncultured bacterium. RNAcentral's name for it is "partial 16S ribosomal RNA". It matches the Rfam family "Bacterial small subunit ribosomal RNA", at positions 28 to 523 of the family's 1533-position model. The record is from RNAcentral.
GAUGAACGCUGGCGGCGUGCCUAAUACAUGCAAGUCGAGCGAGAAUUUUUCAAAUGACACUUCGGUUGAUUUUGGAAAAGGACAGCGGCGGACGGGUGAGUAACGCGUAGGCAACCUGCCCCUGACAGAGGGAUAGCCAUUGGAAACGAUGAUUAAAACCUCAUAACGCCGAAGGAACACAUGUUUCAUCGGCCAAAGAUUUAUCGGUCAGGGAUGGGCCUGCGUCUGAUUAACUAGUUGGUGAGGUAACGGCUCACCAAGGUGACGAUCAGUAGCCGACCUGAGAGGGUGAUCGGCCACAUUGGAACUGAGACACGGUCCAAACUUCUACGGAAGGCAGCAGUAGGGAAUCUUGCGCAAUGGGCGAAAGCCUGAUGCAGCAACGCCGCGUGAAGGAUGAAGGCCUUCGGGUUGUAAACUUCUGUUCUUAGGGGAGAAGAAAGUGACGGUACCUAAGGAGAAAGCCCCGGCUAACUACGUGCCAGCCGCCGCGGUAA